This is a non-coding RNA of Nematostella vectensis (starlet sea anemone), 86 nucleotides long. The record is from Rfam. NCBI's taxonomy places the organism in Eukaryota, Metazoa, Cnidaria, Anthozoa, Actiniaria, Edwardsiidae.
CCUUCGAUAGCUCAGUUGGUAGAGCGGGGGACUGUAGAUUUAUAAUUGUGAUCCCUAGGUCGCUGGUUCGAAUCCGGCUCGAAGUA